AUUGAACGCUGGCGGAAUGCUUUACACAUGCAAGUCGAACGGUAGAGGGGGCAACCCCUCGAGAGUGGCGAACGGGUGAGUAAUAUAUCGGAACGUGCCCAGUCGUGGGGGAUAACGUAGCGAAAGUUACGCUAAUACCGCAUACGAUCUAAGGAUGAAAGCGGGGGAUCGCAAGACCUCGCGCGAUUGGAGCGGCCGAUAUCAGAUUAGGUAGUUGGUGGGGUAAAGGCUCACCAAGCCAACGAACUGUAGCUGGUCUGAGAGGACGACCAGCCACACUGGAACUGGGACACGGUCCAGACUCCUACGGGAGGCAGCAGUGGGGAAUUUUGGACAAUGGACGCAAGUCUGAUCCAGCCAUUCCGCGUGCAGGAUGAAGGCCCUCGGGUUGUAAACUGCUUUUGUACGGAACGAAAAGGUCUCUCUUAAUACGGGGGGCUCAUGACGGUACCGUAAGAAUAAGCACCGGCUAACUACGUGCCAGCAGCCGCAGUAA
RNAcentral lists this ribosomal RNA (496 nucleotides) under uncultured bacterium. RNAcentral's name for it is "partial 16S ribosomal RNA". It matches the Rfam family "Bacterial small subunit ribosomal RNA", at positions 30 to 523 of the family's 1533-position model. The record is from RNAcentral.